CAGGCCUAACACAUGCAAGUCGAACGAGAAAGUGGAGCAAUCCAUGAGUAAAGUGGCGACCGGGUGAGUAACACGUGACUAACCUACCUUUCAGUGGGGAAUAACCUCGGGAAACCGGGGCUAAUACCGCAUAAUGUCUUCGGACCAAAGGAGCAAUUCGCUGGAAGAGGGGGUCGCGGCCGAUUAGCUAGUUGGCGGGGUAACGGCCCACCAAGGCAAUGAUCGGUAGCCGGCCUGAGAGGGCGCACGGCCACACUGGAACUGAAACACGGUCCAGACUCCUACGGGAGGCAGCAGUGGGGAAUUUUGCGCAAUGGGGGAAACCCUGACGCAGCAACGCCGCGUGGAGGAUGAAGCCCCUUGGGGUGUAAACUCCUUUCGAUCGGGACGAUGAUGACGGUACCGGAUGAAGAAGCACCGGCUAACUCUGUGCCAGCAGCCGCGGUAAUAC
Molecule: ribosomal RNA, 451 nt
Filed under: uncultured Acidobacteriota bacterium
Lineage: Bacteria; Pseudomonadati; Acidobacteriota
Description: bacterial SSU rRNA
Rfam family: Bacterial small subunit ribosomal RNA
Source: RNAcentral